RNAcentral lists this ribosomal RNA (501 nucleotides) under uncultured bacterium. Its description in RNAcentral is "partial 16S ribosomal RNA". It matches the Rfam family "Bacterial small subunit ribosomal RNA", at positions 30 to 523 of the family's 1533-position model. The record is from RNAcentral.
AUUGAACGCUGGCGGCAGGCUUAACACAUGCAAGUCGAGCGGGGAAAGGUAGCUUGCUACCUGACCUAGCGGCGGACGGGUGAGUAAUGCUUAGGAAUCUGCCUAUUAGUGGGGGACAACAUCUCGAAAGGGAUGCUAAUACCGCAUACGUCCUACGGGAGAAAGCAGGGGACCUUCGGGCCUUGCGCUAAGAGAUGAGCCUAAGUCGGAUUAGCUAGUUGGUGGGGUAAAGGCCUACCAAGGCGACGAUCGGUAGCGGGUCUGAGAGGAUGAUCCGCCACACUGGGACUGAGACACGGCCCAGACUCCUACGGGAGGCAGCAGUGGGGAAUAUUGGACAAUGGGGGGAACCCUGAUCCAGCCAUGCCGCGUGUGUGAAGAAGGCCUUUUGGUUGUAAAGCACUUUAAGCGAGGAGGAGGCUACCGAGAUUAAUACUCUUGGAUAGUGAACGUUACUCGCAGAAUAAGCACCGGCUAACUCUGUGCCAGCCGCCGCGGUAA